Cavia porcellus (domestic guinea pig) is the source of this 64-nucleotide transfer RNA. It matches the Rfam family "tRNA". From Rfam's summary of the family: Transfer RNA (tRNA) molecules are approximately 80 nucleotides in length. The record is from Rfam. Lineage: Eukaryota; Metazoa; Chordata; Mammalia; Rodentia; Caviidae.
GGGGAUUUAGCUCAGUGGCAUAAGCGCCUGCCUUGCGAGCAGGCAGCCAUGAGUUCAAUCCCCG